RNAcentral lists this ribosomal RNA (671 nucleotides) under Rhodospirillaceae bacterium. RNAcentral's name for it is "bacterial SSU rRNA". It matches the Rfam family "Bacterial small subunit ribosomal RNA", at positions 1 to 705 of the family's 1533-position model. The record is from RNAcentral. Lineage: Bacteria; Pseudomonadati; Pseudomonadota; Alphaproteobacteria; Rhodospirillales; Rhodospirillaceae.
UCAACCUAAGAGUUUGAUCCUGGCUCAGAACGAACGCUGGCGGCAGGCCUAACACAUGCAAGUCGAACGAGAAGCCGCCCUUCGGGGCGGUGGAAAGUGGCGCACGGGUGAGUAACGCGUGGGAACCUACCCUGAGGUACGGAAUAACGGCUGGAAACGGCUGCUAAUACCGUAUGUGCCCUACGGGGGAAAGAUUUAUCGCCUUGGGACGGGCCCGCGUCGGAUUAGCUUGUUGGUAGGGUAACGGCCUACCAAGGCUCCGAUCCGUAGCUGGUCUGAGAGGAUGAUCAGCCACACUGGAACUGAGACACGGUCCAGACUCCUACGGGAGGCAGCAGUGGGGAAUAUUGCGCAAUGGGGGAAACCCUGACGCAGCCAUGCCGCGUGAGUGAAGAAGGUCUUCGGAUUGUAAAGCUCUUUCAACGGGGAAGAUGAUGACGGUACCCGUAGAAGAAGCCCCGGCUAACUUCGUGCCAGCAGCCGCGGUAAUACGAAGGGGGCUAGCGUUGUUCGGAAUUACUGGGCGUAAAGGGCGUGUAGGCGGUGCGAUCAGUCAGAGGUGAAAGCCCCGGGCUCAACCUGGGAAUUGCCUUUGAUACUGUCACACUAGAGUUCGGGAGAGGGUAGUGGAAUUCCCAGUGUAGAGGUUAAAUUCGUAGAUAUUGGGAAGA